CAAAGGUUUGGUCCUGACUUUACUAUCAAUUUUAGCCCAACUUAUACAUGCAAGUAUCCGCGCCCCGGUGAGAAUGCCCUACAAUUCCCUACUAGGGAACAAGGAGCCGGUAUCAGGCACAAGAAACCAAAGCCCACGACACCUUGCUCAUAGCCACAACCCCAAGGGGCCCCCUCCAGCAGUAACAAACAUUAAGCAAUAAGUGAAAACUUGACUUAGCCAAGGCUAAGAGGGCCGGUAAAACUCGUGCCAGCCACCGCGGUUAUACGGGAUGGCCCAAAUUGACAGGUGUCGGCGUAAAGGGUGGUUAUGAUUUUAAUAAGAUAAAGACAAAUGCCUUCAGAGCUGUACUACGCAAUUGAAGGUGAGGAAGCCCGACUACGAAAGUGACUUUAAAAAUUCCGACCCCACGAAAGCUGAGACCCAAACUGGGAUUAGAGACCCCACUAUGCCCAGCCCUAAACUAUGAUAAUGAACAACCCCCGUUAUCCGCCCGGGAACUACAACCGCAAGAUUGAAACCCAAAGGACUUGGCGGUGCUUUAGACCCCCUAGAGGAGCCUGUUCUAGAACCGAUGAUCCCCGUUCAACCUCACCCUUUCUUGCUCCCCCCGCCUGUAUACCUCCGUCGUCAGCUUACCCUGUAAAGGCCCAACAGUAAGCAAAAUAGGCAACCCCCCCCCACGUCAGGUCAAGGUGCAGCGAAUGAAAGGGAAGAAAUGGGCUACAUUCCCUAACAAAGUGCACACGGAUAGGACGGCUGAAACGUGUUCUUGAAGAAGGAUUUAGCAGUAAGCACAAAAUAGAGCGUUGUACUGAACCUGGACCUAAGGCACGUACACACCGCCCGUCACUCUCCCCCAAACAAUAGACUAAAUAAUUAAACCACCAUUAAAAGCUAAAGGGGAGGCAAGUCGUAACAUGGUAAGUGUACCGGAAGGUGUACUUGGUAAAG
RNAcentral lists this non-coding RNA (954 nucleotides) under Melanocetus murrayi (Murray's abyssal anglerfish). RNAcentral describes it as "12S rRNA". It matches the Rfam family "Bacterial small subunit ribosomal RNA". Lineage: Eukaryota; Metazoa; Chordata; Actinopteri; Lophiiformes; Melanocetidae. The record is from RNAcentral.